RNAcentral lists this ribosomal RNA (258 nucleotides) under uncultured bacterium. Its description in RNAcentral is "partial 16S ribosomal RNA". It matches the Rfam family "Bacterial small subunit ribosomal RNA", at positions 524 to 776 of the family's 1533-position model. The record is from RNAcentral.
UACGUAGGUGGCAAGCGUUGUCCGGAUUUAUUGGGUUUAAAGGGUGCGUAGGCGGCCCUGUAAGUCAGUGCUGAAAUACCCCGGCUUAACCGGGGGGGUGGCAUUGAUACUGCAGGGCUUGAGUACAGAUGAGGUAGGCGGAAUUGACGGUGUAGCGGUGAAAAUGCAUAGAUAUCGUCAAGAACACCGAUAGCGAAGGCAGCUUACUGGGCUGUAAACUGACGCUGAUGCACGAAAAGUGUGGGGGAUCAAAACAGG